AGUGAACGCUGGCGGUAGGCCUAACACAUGCAAGUCGAGCGGCAGCACAGUAAGAGCUUGCUCUUACGGGUGGCGAGUGGCGGACGGGUGAGGAAUACAUCGGAAUCUACUUUUUCGUGGGGGAUAACGUAGGGAAACUUACGCUAAUACCGCAUACGACCUACGGGUGAAAGCAGGGGAUCUUCGGACCUUGCGCGAUUGAAUGAGCCGAUGUCGGAUUAGCUAGUUGGCGGGGUAAAGGCCCACCAAGGCGACGAUCCGUAGCUGGUCUGAGAGGAUGAUCAGCCACACUGGAACUGAGACACGGUCCAGACUCCUACGGGAGGCAGCAGUGGGGAAUAUUGGACAAUGGGCGCAAGCCUGAUCCAGCCAUACCGCGUGGGUGAAGAAGGCCUUCGGGUGGUAAAGCCCUUUUGUUGGGAAAGAAAAGCAGCAGGUUAAUACCCCGCUGUUCUGACGGUACCCAAAGAAUAAGCACCGGCUAACUUCGUG
RNAcentral lists this ribosomal RNA (492 nucleotides) under uncultured bacterium. Its description in RNAcentral is "partial 16S ribosomal RNA". It matches the Rfam family "Bacterial small subunit ribosomal RNA", at positions 29 to 507 of the family's 1533-position model. The record is from RNAcentral.